This 957-nucleotide non-coding RNA is filed under the name Cephalopholis urodeta (darkfin hind). RNAcentral describes it as "12S ribosomal RNA". It matches the Rfam family "Bacterial small subunit ribosomal RNA". Lineage: Eukaryota; Metazoa; Chordata; Actinopteri; Perciformes; Serranidae. The record is from RNAcentral.
UAAAGGCUUGGUCCUGGCUUUCCUAUCAGCUUUAGCCAAAUUUACACAUGCAAGUAUCCGCACCCCCGUGAGAAUGCCCUACAGUCCCCUGCUUGGGAACAAGGAGCUGGUAUCAGGCACAUCUUUAUGAUCAGCCCACGACACCUUGCUUAGCCACACCCUCAAGGGAAUCCAGCAGUGAUAAACAUUAAGCCAAUAAGUGUAAACUUGACUUAGUUAUGGCUAAAAGGGCCGGUAAAACUCGUGCCAGCUACCGCGGUUAUACGAGAGGCCCAAGUUGAUAAGCAUCGGCGUAAAGAGUGGUUAAGGUUAAGUAAACACUAAAGCUGAACGCUUACAAGGCUGUUAUACGCACCCGAAAGUAAGAAGUACAACCACGAAAGUGGCUUUAUUACACCUGAACCCACGAAAGCCAAGGCACAAACUGGGAUUAGAUACCCCACUAUGCUUUAGCCCUAAACAUUGAUAGUUUUUUACACCUACUAUCCGCCUGGGAACUACGAGCAACAGCUUAAAACCCAAAGGACUUGGCGGUGCUUUAGACCCACCUAGAGGAGCCUGUUCUGAAACCGAUAACCCCCGUUCAACCUCACCUUUUCUUGUUCUCCCCGCCUAUAUACCGCCGUCGUCAGCUUACCCUAUGAAGGCCCCUUAGUAAGCACAAUUGGUACAACCCAAAACGUCAGGUCGAGGUGUAGCGUAUGGAAAGGGAAGAAAUGGGCUACAUUCCUUAAUUACAGGGAAUUACGAAAAAUAUUACUGAAACGUGUAUCUAGAAGGAGGAUUUAGCAGUAAGCAGAAAAUAGAGCGUUCCGCUGAAACUGGCCCUGAAGCGCGCACACACCGCCCGUCACUCUCCCCAAACGCACCCACGCAAUUUAACUUAAAACCUUUUAACAGCAAAGGGGAGGCAAGUCGUAACAUGGUAAGUGUACCGGAAGGUGCACUUGGCAAAAC